Molecule: ribosomal RNA, 554 nt
Filed under: Aureobasidium proteae
Lineage: Eukaryota; Fungi; Ascomycota; Dothideomycetes; Dothideales; Saccotheciaceae
Description: eukaryotic LSU rRNA
Rfam family: Eukaryotic large subunit ribosomal RNA
Source: RNAcentral
GGGAUUGCCCUAGUAACGGCGAGUGAAGCGGCAACAGCUCAAAUUUGAAAGCUAGCCUUCGGGUUCGCAUUGUAAUUUGUAGAGGAUGAUUUGGGGAAGCCGCCUGUCUAAGUUCCUUGGAACAGGACGUCAUAGAGGGUGAGAAUCCCGUAUGUGACAGGAAAUGGCACCCUAUGUAAAUCUCCUUCGACGAGUCGAGUUGUUUGGGAAUGCAGCUCUAAAUGGGAGGUAAAUUUCUUCUAAAGCUAAAUAUUGGCGAGAGACCGAUAGCGCACAAGUAGAGUGAUCGAAAGAUGAAAAGCACUUUGGAAAGAGAGUUAAAAAGCACGUGAAAUUGUUGAAAGGGAAGCGCUUGCAAUCAGACUUGUUUAAACUGUUCGGCCGGUCUUCUGACCGGUUUACUCAGUUUGGACAGGCCAGCAUCAGUUUCGGCGGCCGGAUAAAGGCUCUGGGAAUGUGGCCUCCACUUCGGUGGAGGUGUUAUAGCCCAGGGUGUAAUACGGCCAGCCGGGACUGAGGUCCGCGCUUCGGCUAGGAUGCUGGCGUAAUGGUUG